RNAcentral lists this transfer RNA (76 nucleotides) under Candidatus Lambdaproteobacteria bacterium RIFOXYD12_FULL_49_8. RNAcentral describes it as "tRNA-Ala". It matches the Rfam family "tRNA". From Rfam's summary of the family: Transfer RNA (tRNA) molecules are approximately 80 nucleotides in length. Their secondary structure includes four short double-helical elements and three loops (D, anti-codon, and T loops). Further hydrogen bonds mediate the characteristic L-shaped molecular structure. tRNAs have two regions of fundamental functional importance: the anti-codon, which is responsible for specific mRNA codon recognition, and the 3' end, to which the tRNAs corresponding amino acid is attached (by aminoacyl-tRNA synthetases). tRNAs cope with the degeneracy of the genetic code in two manners: having more than one tRNA (with a specific anti-codon) for a particular amino acid; and 'wobble' base-pairing, i.e. permitting non-standard base-pairing at the 3rd anti-codon position. The record is from RNAcentral. RNAcentral also lists the same sequence under 2 other names. Lineage: Bacteria; Pseudomonadati; Pseudomonadota; Candidatus Lambdaproteobacteria.
GGGGGAUUAGCUCAGUUGGUAGAGCGCCUGCCUUGCAAGCAGGAGGUCAGCGGUUCGACCCCGCUAUCCUCCACCA